AGGUUAAGCGAAGAAGAGCGUAUGGCGGAUGCCUGGCCACCAGGAGGCGAAGAAGGACGCAGCAAACGGCGAAACACGACGGCGAGCAGUAAGCAUGCAAGGACCCGUCGAUGUCCGAAUGGGGGAACCCGUCAUCCAAGAGGAUGACAUCGAUGAAGAAUCGAGGCGAUACGCAGGGAACUGAAACAUC
This 190-nucleotide ribosomal RNA is filed under the name Massiliimicrobium timonense. Its description in RNAcentral is "Massilimicrobiota timonensis partial 23S ribosomal RNA". It matches the Rfam family "Bacterial large subunit ribosomal RNA", at positions 1 to 202 of the family's 2925-position model. The record is from RNAcentral. Lineage: Bacteria; Bacillati; Bacillota; Erysipelotrichia; Erysipelotrichales; Erysipelotrichaceae.